RNAcentral lists this transfer RNA (70 nucleotides) under Chelonia mydas (Green sea turtle). It matches the Rfam family "tRNA". Rfam says of the family: Transfer RNA (tRNA) molecules are approximately 80 nucleotides in length. Their secondary structure includes four short double-helical elements and three loops (D, anti-codon, and T loops). The record is from Rfam by way of RNAcentral. Lineage: Eukaryota; Metazoa; Chordata; Testudines; Cheloniidae.
GGAAAGAUGGUCCAGUGGUUAGGGAACUAGCUUGAAGCUCGAGACCGGGGUUCAAUUCCCUGUUCUGCCA